Molecule: non-coding RNA, 274 nt
Organism: Linepithema humile (Argentine ant)
Lineage: Eukaryota; Metazoa; Arthropoda; Insecta; Hymenoptera; Formicidae
Source: RefSeq, a predicted model, not a curated record
GACGGAUAAGCCCUGCUGGCCCACACGGGUGGAACCUGAUCGAAGAACAACGCGUUCUCCAGAUUCUCCAUGUCCGACGUUAUGGAGAAGCGUAAUCUGACGUUUUCUGUUGGGGAAGUAGAGAUUUCAGAACGGCAAGAGGGUGGAGACGUUUUGCGUAGAUACACAAGCAUAUUGAGUUGCCGCGAGCGUUACUUGCCUUUGCUGUUGUUCAUACCGAAACGUACGUCUCUCUUUUCUUGCGCGGUUUAUCGGAUCAGCGGACGAUGACAAG